RNAcentral lists this ribosomal RNA (406 nucleotides) under uncultured bacterium. RNAcentral describes it as "partial 16S ribosomal RNA". It matches the Rfam family "Bacterial small subunit ribosomal RNA", at positions 30 to 526 of the family's 1533-position model. The record is from RNAcentral.
AUUGAACGCUGGCGGCAGGCCUAACACAUGCAAGUCGAACGAGUGGCGGACUGGUGAGUUAUGUCUGGGAAACUGCCCGAUGGAGGGGGAUAACUUCUGGAAACGGUAGCUAAUACCGCAUACCAUCGGAUGUGCCCAGAUGGGAUUAGCUAGUAGGUGGGGUAACGGCUCACCUAUGCGACGAUCCCUAGCUGGUCUUAGAGGAUGACCAGCCACACUGGAACUGAGACACGGUCCAGACUCCGACGGGAGGCAGCAGUGGGGAAUAUUGCACAAUGGGCGCAAGCCUGAUGCAGCCAUGCCGCGUGUAUGAAGAAGGCCUGCGGGUUGUAAAGUACUUUCAGCGGGGAGGCGUUACCCGCAGAAGAAGCACCGGCUAACUCCGUGCCAGCAGCCGCGGUAAUAC